This 434-nucleotide ribosomal RNA is filed under the name uncultured marine bacterium. RNAcentral describes it as "bacterial SSU rRNA". It matches the Rfam family "Bacterial small subunit ribosomal RNA", at positions 360 to 803 of the family's 1533-position model. The record is from RNAcentral.
AAUAUUGGGCAAAGGAGGGGAAGUAUGCCCCAGCCAUGCCGCGAGAAAAGCAGACUCCCCUAUAGGUUGUAAAUGCUUUUAUACAGGAAGAAACAACUUUACGUGUAGAACUUGGCGGUACCUAAGAUAAGCCUCAGUUAACUCCGGGCCAGCAGCCGCGGUAAUGGGGGGGAUCCAAGGAUUUCCGAAAUCAUUGGGAUUAAAGGGUCAGUAGGUGGAUAAUUAAGUCAAAGGUGAAAUCCUGCAGCUCAACGGUAGAUUGCCUAAAAUAGUAGUUAUCUUUAUUAUUAUGAGGUAGUUAGUACUGUAGUUAGCGGUAAAAUGAGUAUUUUACAUAGAAUCCCAAUUGCGAAGGCCGAUUCAUAAUAAUCAACUGACACUGGGGAGAAAUCGUGGGGAACGAACAGGAUAAGAUACCGUGGAGUCACCGCCCA